GACGAACGCUGGCGGCGUGCUUAACACAUGCAAGUCGAACGGAAAGGCCCCAGCUUGCUGGAGUACUCGAGUGGCGAACGGGUGAGUAACACGUGGGUAAUCUGCCCUGCACUUUGGGAUAAGCCUGGGAAACUGGGUCUAAUACUGGAUAUGACCUUUCUCCUUAUGGGGUUUGGUGGAAAGUUUUUCGGUGUAGGAUGAGCCCGCGGCCUAUCAGCUUGUUGGUGGGGUGAUGGCCUACCAAGGCGACGACGGGUAGCCGGCCUGAGAGGGUGAUCGGCCACAUUGGGACUGAGAUACGGCCCAGACUCCUACGGGAGGCAGCAGUGGGGAAUAUUGCACAAUGGGCGGAAGCCUGAUGCAGCGACGCCGCGUGAGGGAUGACGGCCUUCGGGUUGUAAACCUCUUUCAGCAGGGACGAAGCGUAAGUGACGGUACCUGCAGAAGAAGCACCGGCUAACUAUGUG
Molecule: ribosomal RNA, 467 nt
Filed under: uncultured bacterium
Lineage: Bacteria
Description: partial 16S ribosomal RNA
Rfam family: Bacterial small subunit ribosomal RNA
Source: RNAcentral